GUGUCAGCAGCCGCGGUAAUACGUAGGGAGCAAGCGUUGUCCGGAAUCAUUGGGCGUAAAGCGCGCGUAGGCGGCCCUGUAAGUCCGUUGUGAAAGUCAAAGGCUCAACCUUUGAAAGCCGAUGGAUACUGCAGGGCUAGAGUCCGGAAGAGGCGAGUGGAAUUCCUGGUGUAGCGGUGGAAUGCGCAGAUAUCAGGAGGAACACCAAUAGCGAAGGCAGCUCGCUGGGACGGUACUGACGCUAAGGCGCGAAAGCGUGGGGAGCGAACAGGAUUAGAUACCCCCGUAGUCC
This 292-nucleotide ribosomal RNA is filed under the name uncultured bacterium. RNAcentral's name for it is "partial 16S ribosomal RNA". It matches the Rfam family "Bacterial small subunit ribosomal RNA", at positions 505 to 796 of the family's 1533-position model. The record is from RNAcentral.